UACGAAGGGGGCUAGCGUUGCUCGGAAUUACUGGGCGUAAAGCGCACGUAGGCGGCUCUUUAAGUCGGGGGUGAAAUCCUGGAGCUCAACUCCAGAACUGCCUUCGAUACUGUAGAGCUUGAGUUCGGGAGAGGUGAGUGGAACUGCGAGUGUAGAGGUGAAAUUCGUAGAUAUUCGCAAGAACACCAGUGGCGAAGGCGGCUCACUGGCCCGAUACUGACGCUGAGGUGCGAAAGCGUGGGGAGCGAACAGG
RNAcentral lists this ribosomal RNA (253 nucleotides) under uncultured bacterium. Its description in RNAcentral is "partial 16S ribosomal RNA". It matches the Rfam family "Bacterial small subunit ribosomal RNA", at positions 524 to 776 of the family's 1533-position model. The record is from RNAcentral.